Molecule: transfer RNA, 57 nt
Filed under: Ligilactobacillus equi DPC 6820
Lineage: Bacteria; Bacillati; Bacillota; Bacilli; Lactobacillales; Lactobacillaceae
Description: Lactobacillus equi DPC 6820 tRNA
Rfam family: tRNA
About the family: Transfer RNA (tRNA) molecules are approximately 80 nucleotides in length.
Source: Rfam by way of RNAcentral
UGGUUAAGACACCACCCUUUCACGGUGGUAUCAUGGGUUCGAAUCCCGUACGGGUCA